GCCCCCGUGGUGAAACGCACAUCACGUCCUGCUUCGAACCGGAAGGUCCGGGUUGGAUUCCUGGCGGGGGCG
RNAcentral lists this transfer RNA (72 nucleotides) under Elusimicrobiota bacterium. Its description in RNAcentral is "Elusimicrobia bacterium tRNA-Arg". It matches the Rfam family "tRNA". Rfam says of the family: Transfer RNA (tRNA) molecules are approximately 80 nucleotides in length. Their secondary structure includes four short double-helical elements and three loops (D, anti-codon, and T loops). Lineage: Bacteria; Pseudomonadati; Elusimicrobiota. The record is from RNAcentral.